Papio anubis (olive baboon) is the source of this 148-nucleotide unclassified non-coding RNA. It matches the Rfam family "Metazoan signal recognition particle RNA". From Rfam's summary of the family: The signal recognition particle (SRP) is a universally conserved ribonucleoprotein. It is involved in the co-translational targeting of proteins to membranes. Lineage: Eukaryota; Metazoa; Chordata; Mammalia; Primates; Cercopithecidae. The record is from Ensembl.
GCUGGGCGUGGUGGUGCGCGCCUGUAAUCCCAGCUACUUGGGAGGCUGAGGCAGGAGAAUUACUUGAACCCAGGAGGCAGGGAUUGCAGGGAGUGGAGAUCACGCCAUUGCACUCCAGCCUGGGCAACAGAGUAAGACUCUGUCUCAA